RNAcentral lists this ribosomal RNA (397 nucleotides) under uncultured bacterium. Its description in RNAcentral is "partial 16S ribosomal RNA". It matches the Rfam family "Bacterial small subunit ribosomal RNA", at positions 523 to 918 of the family's 1533-position model. The record is from RNAcentral.
CUACGUAGGUGGCAAGCGUUGUCCGGAAUUGUUGGGCGUAAAGCGCGCGCAGGUGGUUCCUUAAGUCUGAUGUGAAAGCCCCCGGCUCAACCGGGGAGGGUCAUUGGAAACUGGGGAACUUGAGUGCAGAAGAGGAUAGUGGAAUUCCAAGUGUAGCGGUGAAAUGCGUAGAGAUUUGGAGGAACACCAGUGGCGAAGGCGACUGUCUGGUCUGUAACUGACACUGAGGCGCGAAAGCGUGGGGAGCAAACAGGAUUAGAUACCCUGGUAGUCCACGCCGUAAACGAUGAGUGCUAAGUGUUGGGGGGUUUCCGCCCCUCAGUGCUGCAGCUAACGCAUUAAGCACUCCGCCUGGGGAGUACGGUCGCAAGACUGAAACUCAAAUGAAUUGACGGGG